AACGAACGCUGGCGGCAUGCCUAACACAUGCAAGUCGAACGAGACCUUCGGGUCUAGUGGCGCACGGGUGCGUAACGCGUGGGAACCUGCCUUUAGGUUCGGAAUAACUCAGAGAAAUUUGAGCUAAUACCGGAUAAUGUCUUCGGACCAAAGAUUUAUCGCCUUUAGAUGGGCCCGCGUUGGAUUAGCUAGUUGGUGGGGUAAAGGCCUACCAAGGCGACGAUCCAUAGCUGGUCUGAGAGGAUGAUCAGCCACACUGGGACUGAGACACGGCCCAGACUCCUACGGGAGGCAGCAGUGGGGAAUAUUGGACAAUGGGCGAAAGGCCUCGAUCCAGCAAUGCCGCG
This 347-nucleotide ribosomal RNA is filed under the name uncultured bacterium. Its description in RNAcentral is "bacterial SSU rRNA". It matches the Rfam family "Bacterial small subunit ribosomal RNA", at positions 29 to 401 of the family's 1533-position model. The record is from RNAcentral.